UGGGGAAUAUUGCACAAUGGGCGAAAGCCUGAUGCAGCGACGCCGCGUGAGGGAUGACGGCCUUCGGGUUGUAAACCUCUUUCAGCAGGGAAGAAGCGAAAGUGACGGUACCUGCAGAAGAAGCGCCGGCUAACUACGUGCCAGCAGCCGCGGUAAUACGUAGGGCGCAAGCGUUGUCCGGAAUUAUUGGGCGUAAAGGAGCUCGUAGGCGGUUAGUCGCGUCUGCUGUGAAAAUCUCGAGGCUCAACCUCGGGCUUGCAGUGGGUACGGGCUGACUAGAGUGCGGUAGGGGUGACUGGAAUUCCUGGUGUAGCGGUGGAAUGCGCAGAUAUCAGGAGGAACACCGAUGGGCGAAGGCAGGUCACUGGGCCGCAACUGACGCUGAGGAGCGAAAGCAUGGGGAGCGAACAGGAUUAGAUACCCUGGUAGUCCAUGCCGUAAACGUUGGGCACUAGGUG
This 458-nucleotide ribosomal RNA is filed under the name uncultured bacterium. RNAcentral's name for it is "partial 16S ribosomal RNA". It matches the Rfam family "Bacterial small subunit ribosomal RNA", at positions 355 to 822 of the family's 1533-position model. The record is from RNAcentral.